AGCUAAGCUAAGGAUUUUGUUGCUUUCAACUCAGUCGUGAUCCUGAGCUAUGAUCAAAUUCCGCGCCAUCACCUACCUUCCAGCGGAAAAUUGUGUUUGAGGAUUAGAAGUUGAACGUACAGUAAAGUCAAGAAAUUUGACAGGAGGGUCCAUUAUUAAUCGAAAAUUCCGACUUCAUAGCGCAGGCGCAGCCCCCUACGUCGACGAUCGUUGUGCUCUGAACGGGAAAAACGAGCAUGUGAUGUCGUCUGUUCGGAGGACUGGUUAAUGAAGAUAAAAUCACUAUCACAUUAGGUAUAUGUGAACUCUUCAAUUCCCCAAUUUUUUUAAUUUUCCCAUGGUUCAUUUAUCCAUCAGGUCAAAUCUCGUGAUUUUUACGGAUAUUUACAGAAAAUAAUCUCCUUGCAAUUUCGUUUUCUAAGUAUUUAAAUAACCUGGAUUUUCCAAUAAUACGUGAUGAAAUUGUACAUUUUUCAAUUAUGCCAUGUAUAUUUUCGUUUUUCGUGAUUUUCCGUUCCGGAGAUAUUUUGCGUUGAUUUCCAUGAUUUUGACAGCUGCUAGCUAACCAGUAGAAAAUUGAGCUUUCUUUAAACUUUGAAAUAUGAAGUAAGAAUAAGCGCACAAUGAAGGUUAGACCGCGGCGUGACCCUUAAUUUAUACGUGUCGCGUCACAUCUUAGAUAUCGAGCACUCAAGUGCCUAAUUAUUUCAAGUGACCGCCGAACCACUUGAAGAUUAUCAUUUAGGUACAUUAGACCGUUCUAUAUGAAUAGUUCGCGGUGAGAGGUAACCCAGCAGGUAGGAGGGCCACUUCAUUCACGUUAAAAUAAAUAUCCGAAUCUCACCAAAUUAUCAGACAACAGUCUACCGACCUUGAAGUGCACCCCCCCCCCCCCCUAAAUAAAAAUUUGGGACUUUACUUAACUACUACUCCUACUUCAUAAAUUUCCUAUUAUGCGUGCGAGUCAAGAUAACGUGUACUUCAAAUCGUUCUUGAACUUCUAGUGAAUUCAUCCAUCGUGAUGGAGAGCCCCACUGCCCCCCCCCCCCCUCCACUCUUGUGACACAUUUUUUUUAAACGUCGAUACAUUUAGAAAAAUUUCCAGCUAACAAUUCUUGACGAGUAUUUUUGUUGAUUCAACCAGAAAUCUCUCAAAAUUGACGAGACGUCUCUUUGGAAUAAAAUAAAUGCUUAUCGUUUGAAACACGAAGAUUUCCUGCGAUAAAUCAACGAGAAUUCUUGUCCGGUGAUUAUUAACUGGAAUAUUUAUCGAUCCAACAGAAAGUUUGUCUCUUUGUAUAGUUCUCCGAGUCACGCAUGGAGUCGUGUAUUUCACUCCUGUUUGGAUUCGUUUAUCUUGGCCCUUGAUCGUGUGAACUAUUCUUUCUUUCAGUUUUACUACCCUAAAAAGCAUUGGCUGUUAAAAAAAAAAAAAAAAAAAAAAAAAAAAAAAAAAACUAAACAACUUGUAAAUUUCAAAGCGGAGGAUUUUUUAAAGAAACCGUUCAAAUAUCCUGGUUAGAAACCCUCGCAGUUGCUCUUUACGUAAAAAUGUAAAUUUUCAUUUUAGCAAAUUGUAACAUAAAUUUUCAAAAUAUCUUUCGUACAGAAAAUUGAAGUUUUUAUGCUGCAUAUUUUGCAAUUUACUUUGUGUUUAGCAUCAAUAUGUGUAAUUUUUAGAAUUUAAAAAGAUUUUAAUAUCCGUUUUUUCCGUACAUCUUUUUUAACACAAAUUUCACGUGAAUCUAAAUUUGAAAAGAACAAAAAUGGUUUCCUGUGUUUCACAUUUUAAUAAUUUUAGUAUACGUUUUUUGAGUCUGGAUUCGACAGUCAAUGCUAGAAAGGCUUUUUCAUUCCAAGUAAAAAGUCCAUUUAUAACAAUUGGAGCCGGGUCCUUACGGGUGAGAACUGGCUCCAUAGGAUCCGCCGAUGUCGUGUGUUCCUUGAUGAUGAGGGACUUCACUCGUCCUGUGGCCUAUACCGAGAGCAUGUUCGCGAGGAUUCGUGGACCUACAGAGCUGGCUUCCACGGAGGCGUUUGGCAGAUAAAUCGGUUCAAUUACACCCACACCGACGACGGCCCCUAUCAAGGCAGCAAUCCAAAGCUUAGGAGCAUCCACGAGCCGAUCAAGAAGAGCAUGGGUAUCGAUUGGAUGCAGAGAAAAACAUGAAAAUGUGAAAGCUAGAUUUUCAACGUUGAGUUUUGCAAAAAUAAAUAUAGCCUCAGUGAUCCAUUAGCAGCAUACUUUUUCUUAGUAGAUUUGGACGAUUUAUUUCCGGAAGACAUCAUACAACCAUUACAGAACUUGAGAAAAUUAGAAAAAUGACAUAUUACGUUGUCAUUUGUUUGUAUACUAUAAAGUUUAGCUAUGUUGUUUUUUAUUUCUGUGUUUGAAUUAAAAUUAUUGACGGGAUAAAGUAUCAUGAGAUUCUGUGCGAA
Bemisia tabaci is the source of this 2439-nucleotide non-coding RNA. NCBI's taxonomy places the organism in Eukaryota, Metazoa, Arthropoda, Insecta, Hemiptera, Aleyrodidae. The record is from RefSeq and is a predicted model, not a curated record.